AAUAAUAAUUUGCUUUAAGUUUAUUCAUAACUUUUGCAUUCUUUGCUAUAAGGAAAUUAUUAAUUUUGUUCUGAAUAUUUUUCAAAUCAUCUGCGUUUUCUUUAGAGGGGGACUGCUUAUUCUUGAUUGCAGUCUUUUUUAAUUCUUCUUGUAAUGCCAGAAAAAGUUUAUUGUUUUCUACUUUGUAUCUUGUUUGUAUACUUAUUAUGUUACCUCUCAUGGUGGAUUUAAAUGCACA
This is a non-coding RNA of Pelobates cultripes (western spadefoot toad), 238 nucleotides long. NCBI's taxonomy places the organism in Eukaryota, Metazoa, Chordata, Amphibia, Anura, Pelobatidae. The record is from the annotation of a GenBank genome assembly.